This 450-nucleotide ribosomal RNA is filed under the name uncultured bacterium. RNAcentral's name for it is "partial 16S ribosomal RNA". It matches the Rfam family "Bacterial small subunit ribosomal RNA", at positions 329 to 793 of the family's 1533-position model. The record is from RNAcentral.
UCCCAGACUCCUACGGGAGGCAGCAGUGGGGAAUAUUGGGCAAUGGAGGCAACUCUUACCCAGCAAUGCCGCGUGAAUGAAGAAGGUCUUCGGAUUGUAAAGUUCUUUAAUUGGGGACGAAAAAAAUGACGGUACCCAAGGAAUAAGCCCCGGCUAACUACGUGCCAGCAGCCGCGGUAAUACGUAGGGGGCAAGCGUUAUCCGGAUUCACUGGGUGUAAAGGGAGCGUAGACGGCGACGCAAGUCUGGAGUGAAAGCCCGGGGCCCAACCCCGGGACUGCUCUGGAAACUGCGGCGCUGGAGUACGGGAGGGGCAGGCGGAAUUCCUGGUGUAGCGGUGAAAUGCGUAGAUAUCAGGAGGAACACCGGCGGCGAAGGCGGCCUGCUGGACCGUGACUGACGUUGAGGCUCGAGAGCGUGGGGAGCAAACAGGAUUAGAUACCCGUGUAC